CAGGAAAGCAAGCGACAAAAUAACUACAAGCUUUGUUCCACUGGAUAUUGCAGUAUAAUAAACAAAUUGACAGUUAACCAAAAACACCUUUAUUUUAGUCUUCAAAGAACGAACUGUUCUUCUUUCUCCAAGACAAUCAUGAUUAACUUAAAAAAUGGGCAUUUACAAUGCAUCUUCAAAGCAUUUCCCUUUAACGGGAAACUUAGCUUCAUAGAAUCCAAACAUUAAAAGGUUAAAAAAAAAUUUUCUAUUUUGUUGUCCUUAUAAGACAAAACAGAAUCCAGCAUAAGUCAAGGAAAUCCAUUCAUACUUCAGGGCCUUCUCCUCCAGGAACCAGCUGCAAAGGAGGAAAAAGUUUAAUAACACCACCACUACAUCCUCUAAAAACCCUUACUGAGAGCUCCUCAUUGACCAAAGCCACUUCUGCCCCUCAGCCCCUCCUCCACAUCCCCAUUUUCUCCAUGUCACUGCUGUUUAUAAUUCCAACACGAUCAAUUAACAUUUAGUGUCUCAACAAUAAAAAAAAUAAAAUGAAAUACUAAAAAGCACAAACUAAUCUUUAGGCCCAAUGUCACCUUCAACAGCUCAGCUUUAGAGCCUGACCACCAGAGCACCACUUCCCCAUCUCAGGCACCACUGGGCCGUGAACAUUUCAUCCAGCAAGUUAGUUCUGUAAGUCCUGACCCAAAAAAUGGUUUAACAUCUAAAUAAAAUCAGGUUUACUGUCUUACCAUUGUUAUAUUAUUGCCAUUUAGCAAAAUCUGAUCUAAUUUAGUAAUCCUUCUUCCUUCUGGUGUGAUUUCACUAAAUGAAUAGAUAAAAAAGAGUCAGGAUAAACAGUGAUAAUCAAAGCCAACAUUUUGAUCCCUGGAAAGAUUAAUUAUUGUAUAUAAAUGAAUGUGAGGUCAGGCAAUUAGGUCAACAGUUUUCAGAGACAAAGGUUAUCCACUGGGUGAUGUAUACUCUUCCCCAAAGGCAACAGAGUGGACUGACCGCCCUAAGAUUCACAUCUACUAGGGCUGAUCUUCAUAAAAGCUGAAACUUGCCAAGGAGAUCAAAUAUGAAAUGCUUACUUCCCUCAUUCUUUUUCCUAUUACUUAUUACUGAUUCCUACCCAUUAAACCCAAUCUGUAUUCAAUUCAAUUCUGAAAGUGAAGAUAUUGGUUGUGAUCUUUAUAACUAAUAUAAGUGACUCAUCAUCUACAUUUUAUAUUAUACAUAAAUUACAGAGCAAUUAAUUUAAUUAAAAGCAGUAAAUGAUCUUACUAUCAGUUCCCUGAUGUGACCUGAGCCCUAAGAUUCUUGGCUGUUUUUCAGUAUCUUUUACCUUAAAGUUUUGCCUCCACUAAUUCCCUACCAGUUUAGCAAUAAUUACAUUGAGGUAAUAACCCUCCAAUCCAAUUACUAGUGUCAGUAGAUAAAAUUUCUAUUUUAAGGUAAUUCCAACAGACAAUGUUUUUGCAUGCAUCAUUUUACUGCCUCAAUAAUACUAAAACUGCCUUAAAUUAAAAAGCGAGAGAUUACCCCCACCCCAAUUCUUUAAUUUUUAACACUACUCACAACUCAGUGACAUCUUCCAGUACCAUAUCUGAAUGACAAAGUCAUCAAAUCCUAGAAGCGUGCCAACAAUUUCCUUAUCACUCUUCAUCACAAUGUGAAUUCUUGAUCCUAUACACUUGUCCACAAGCUCUGUAGAUACAUUUUUUUAAAGAAAGGAAAAGGAGGAAAGACGGAAAAGAUUAUUUUACCCACUCAUUACUUUCACAAAUAUUUGAGUGCCUACUGACACUUAUUACUCACAAACGGAGAAACACAAACCAGGAAAAGAAUUUAUUCAAAAGCUUUAGAUCUUAGACUACAUAUCUCUGUUCAAUCAUUACAUUAACAAAUUUUCCCUGUUCUCCACUUACCUUUGGCAGCAAAUUAUCAUGGCUGUGUUUUUAUA
Molecule: long non-coding RNA, 1945 nt
Filed under: Equus caballus (horse)
Lineage: Eukaryota; Metazoa; Chordata; Mammalia; Perissodactyla; Equidae
Description: lncRNA (ENSECAG00000046269.1)
Source: RNAcentral